CGCCUCCUGCAGCAUAAAGUAUAGGAGGUCCAGCCUGCCCAGUGACUACGGGUUCAACGGCCGCGGUAUAUUGACCGUGCAAAGGUAGCGCAAUCACUUGUCUUUUAAAUAGAGACCUGUAUGAAUGGCUAGACGAGGGCUUAACUGUCUCCCCCCUCCAGUCAGUGAAAUUGAUCUAUCCGUGCAGAAGCGGGUAUAAUACUACAAGACGAGAAGACCCUUUGGAGCUUAAGGUACAAAAUUCAGCCACGUUAAGCAACUCCUUAAGAAGCAAGAACUUAAUGGCCAUGAAGUUUUACCUUCGGUUGGGGCGACCACGGAGGAAAAGCAAGCCUCCGAGUGGACUGGGCCAACACCCCUAAAGCCAAAAGAGACAUCUUUAAGCCGCAGAAUAUCUGACCAAUAAGGAUCCGGCUAAAAAGCCGAUCAACGGACCAAGUUACCCUAGGGAUAACAGCGCAAUCCUCUCCCAGAGCCCAUAUCGACGAGGGGGUUUA
Molecule: ribosomal RNA, 497 nt
Filed under: Luxilus chrysocephalus (striped shiner)
Lineage: Eukaryota; Metazoa; Chordata; Actinopteri; Cypriniformes; Leuciscidae
Description: partial large subunit ribosomal RNA
Rfam family: Bacterial large subunit ribosomal RNA
Source: RNAcentral